RNAcentral lists this ribosomal RNA (305 nucleotides) under uncultured bacterium. RNAcentral's name for it is "bacterial SSU rRNA". It matches the Rfam family "Bacterial small subunit ribosomal RNA", at positions 498 to 799 of the family's 1533-position model. The record is from RNAcentral.
UUCCUACGGGAGGCAGCAGCCGCGGUAAUACGUAUGGAGCAAGCGUUAUCCGGAUUUACUGGGUGUAAAGGGAGAGUAGGUGGCAGAGCAAGUCCGAAGUGAAAACCCAAAGCUCAACUAUGGGAAUGCUUUAGAAACUGCUCAGCUAGAGUGCAGGAGAGGCAAGUGGAAUUCUUAGUGUAGCGGUGAAAUGCGUAGAUAUUAGGAGGAACACCAGUGGCGCAGGCGGCUUGCUGGACUGUAACUGACACUGAGGCUCGAAAGCGUGGGGAGCAAACAGGAUUAGAUACCCCAGUAGUCCAAAG